AGUGAACGCUGGCGGUAGGCCUAACACAUGCAAGUCGAACGGCAGCACAGUAAGAGCUUGCUCUUACGGGUGGCGAGUGGCGGACGGGUGAGGAAUACAUCGGAAUCUACUUUUUCGUGGGGGAUAACGUAGGGAAACUUACGCUAAUACCGCAUACGACCUACGGGUGAAAGCAGGGGAUCUUCGGACCUUGCGCGAGUGAAUGAGCCGAUGUCGGAUUAGCUAGUUGGCGGGGUAAAGGCCCACCAAGGCGACGAUCCGUAGCUGGCCUGAGAGGAUGAUCAGCCACACGGGAACUGAGACACGGUCCACACUCCUACGGGAGGCAGCAGUGGGGAAUAUUGGACAAUGGGCGCAAGCCUGAUCCAGCCAUACCGCGUGGGUGAAGAAGGCCUUCGGGUUGUAAAGCCCUUUUGUUGGGAAAGAAAAGCAGCAGGUUAAUACCCCGCUGUUCUGACGGUACCCAAAGAAUAAGCACCGGCUAACUUCGUG
Molecule: ribosomal RNA, 492 nt
Filed under: uncultured bacterium
Lineage: Bacteria
Description: partial 16S ribosomal RNA
Rfam family: Bacterial small subunit ribosomal RNA
Source: RNAcentral